Molecule: long non-coding RNA, 233 nt
Filed under: Arabidopsis lyrata
Lineage: Eukaryota; Viridiplantae; Streptophyta; Magnoliopsida; Brassicales; Brassicaceae
Description: long non-coding RNA (ALYR_LNC003124)
Source: RNAcentral
UCUAGUUUUUGAAUUAUUCACUGUUCAUAUUACAAACUGGAGAAGCGAACUCGUUUACAUCAAAUACAAAAAAAAAAAAAAGAGAUAUUUUAGAAUAUCUCAUAUGGUUAUAGGUCACUCUCAUGUUCUUUGCUUCUUCUAUCUCUCUCUCUCUCUUUAAUGCCCUGCUCGAGUCUCGAACUGAUCAUACGUUGCACUAGUGUGUGCCUUCGCUGACCGAUAGAGCUACAAGA